RNAcentral lists this transfer RNA (73 nucleotides) under Camelus bactrianus (Bactrian camel). It matches the Rfam family "tRNA". From Rfam's summary of the family: Transfer RNA (tRNA) molecules are approximately 80 nucleotides in length. Their secondary structure includes four short double-helical elements and three loops (D, anti-codon, and T loops). The record is from Rfam by way of RNAcentral. RNAcentral also lists the same sequence under 2 other names. Lineage: Eukaryota; Metazoa; Chordata; Mammalia; Artiodactyla; Camelidae.
AAGGGUAUAGCUCAAGUGAUAGAGUGCAUGCUUAGCAUGCAUGAGGUCCUGGGUUCAAUCCCCAGUACCUCCU